CACGCACCCUUUGACUGCGAGGGGCCGCGCCUCGGGCGCGCUGCCACUUGUUGAACCGACUUUGGGUGUCGCCUUUGCGAGCUGUUGUCGUUCCGGUGCCGAGACGCGCGGCUCCAGCGGUUCUUGGGGCUCAUGUGUCUUGUCAUCUUGCAGCGAGAAACAGGAAGUUUGAUGUGAUAAGCUGUGCCCUGACGAAGCCCCAAAGGUGGGCCCACACGACGAGGGGAGGCCGGACCCCCCAACAACCUGUGGAAGGUGAUUGGAAGUCGAUUCCGAAGCUGCGUUCUCUGCAUAGACGAGAGGUUUGAGUCGUAAGACUUCCUGUCGGUGGAGAAAGGUGUUCCCUGUGCAGGGUGCUCUGACUGUGUUCUGUAGGCACACCACCUUCCCCUCUGAGGUGGGAUUGAGCACGCUGCUGAAGGCUUCGUCCUCCGGUGCCUGUGUCUCCAGGUUGCUGGGGUUUUCCUGUCUGUGUGGCCUCUGUCUACGGCUUCCUGGGCUGGUGGCCCUUGGCAGCUGCUCAUAGGCAGCAGGGCCACCAGGGAGGGGUGAGGCUGUGUGUGGCGGUGGGGUGACCAGCUGCAUGCAGACUCGGGGACUCUCCCUGUUGGUCUCUGUGGGGAGCUGGGUCCCUGGUGAGGCCAGUGCCCCUCCCUGCAUCACCGCCUGCUGGGCCUGCUGCAGACCUGCAUCACCGCCCGCUGGGCCUGCUGCAGACCUGCAUCCCCCUUUCCUCUCCUGGGAGGAAGCCCCGCCUUGAGUUGAGGGCGGGGCCCUGGCCUGGCUGGCUGGAGCUGGGGAGGGGUGUUUAGCUGCUGCGCCCAGUGGCUGGCGGUCAGCAGCCAAGUGGGUCCAGGUGGUCCCUGGGGCGUCCCCACUGCUGGCUGAAGGUCCGCUUCCCAGUGGCUUUCUAGCUUCCGAGGUAUCACAGGGCCUCCUCCCCGCUGUUUGGAGCAGGGGUCGGGAAGACCUCCCGUGUUGGUUCUCACCUGCGCCUAUCAGCCAGACCCCUGCUUUCGUUCCAUUUUCCAGGAGAGGACUCUAGUGGCAGUUUUAAAGCGGGAGAGCCUUUGUCAGGUAGGAAGACCAGGAACACUUGCACGCGUGGAGCCGGCAGGUGAGUGUAGCCUUGGCCGGGUGGUUUUGCGCGUAGUCACGUGUGACAAUUUCCCUUUAGCAAAAACCAGACAUGAAGCUCUGAGGAGCCCUUGGGAAUGGAUCACUGAUUUUUAAAACAAACGCAGCCUGGCGGGUUGGCUCGGACCUCGCAACAGCCUGGGCCUCCUGAAGCCCGAUGUUGCAGAACCCUAGGGCCUGCUGGUGUGGACAGAGAACACAGGCCCUGGACCAUGGUCACCCUCAUCACUGAGAAGCUGCAGAACCAGAGCCUGGACGACCUCACCCACAAGAGCUACGAUGCUGGCCCGUGUUCUGCCGAGAAUGUGAGCUCAACUGGCUGCUUGUUCCCUUUUGAGACCAACAAAGACAAGCACCCCUGGAAGGUCGUCAGCAGAGGACCGCCCGUCGGAAGCCAGGCGGCCGCGGGCCCC
Vicugna pacos (alpaca) is the source of this 1550-nucleotide non-coding RNA. The record is from RefSeq and is a predicted model, not a curated record. NCBI's taxonomy places the organism in Eukaryota, Metazoa, Chordata, Mammalia, Artiodactyla, Camelidae.